Heterocephalus glaber (naked mole-rat) is the source of this 952-nucleotide long non-coding RNA. Lineage: Eukaryota; Metazoa; Chordata; Mammalia; Rodentia; Bathyergidae. The record is from Ensembl.
CAAAGGCUUUUGCUGCUUCAAAAAUUUUAAUGUGGGCACGAGAUAAUUUGCUGAUGAGAAACUCCCAGCUAAGUGACUCUCAAGCAACUGGGGAUUGAACUCAUGGCUGUUGCACCGAGCCACAUCUCCAGCCACCACCACCCCAACCUCUUUUAAAUUUUGAGACAGGAUCUUGUUAAAUUGCUAAACGGAAUUUGCAGUCCUCCUGCCUCAGCCUCCCAGAGUGCUGGGACUACAGGGAUGUGCCCCCAUGCCCAGCCCCGAAGGCCUCUUUUGCUGAAAAACAUUGACCCUUCACUUCAGCCUUCAGAGGUCUGAUGAGUGUUGCCCCUAACUUUAUCUCAGCAUUUGUUUUCUGGAGAGCCUAGCCUGACACAGAGGGAGUUGGUGGCUGGAUUCUUGAGGGACAGGGAGAGAUUGAAGCUGUGUCUGCAGAGCAUUUCAACUUAAAAUUGGCCAACUACCAUCACCUAUCCUAAAGUGUGAGGAAGGACAAUUAAUAACUACCUCAGUGGGAAUUAAUUUGAUAAUAGCUCAUCUGGGGACCCUUCCACCCUGUGCAGAAUCUUGGCAAAGACUCUAGGGACAGUGGAUUUGUGAAGACUAAAAGAUAUGUAACCUCACAAGUAUUGGAUUUGGGCUCAAAGGCUGGUCUGUGACCUGCACGGUCCACAGGGCAACCCCAGGAAAUGUCCUCCAAAGGAUCCGGCCCUUGCCUGGUACUGGUUUAGGGUCCUCCCGGGAGGGGACCUACUGGGAGAAUCAGACUUUCCAGUGGACACGGAGGCAUAUGAUGACCGAGUGACUGAUGAAUGGACCGACACAUCUGUCCGUUUGAAGGUCAGGAAGUGACUUUGAACGACAGAGACUAGCGGGAGGGCCUGAGGGCCUGGAGGCCUCCCGCAGGCCCACUCGUCCGCCAGGGGGCGCCACAGCCACGCCCCGCGUCGCC